UACAGAGGUCUCAAGCGUUGUUCGGAUUCAUUGGGGUAAAGGGUGCGUAGGCGGCGCGGUAAGUCGGGUGUGAAAUUUCGAGGCUUAACUUCGAAACUGCAUUCGAUACUGCCGUGCUAGAGGACUGGAGAGGAGACUGGAAUUUACGGUGUAGCGGUGAAAUGCGUAGAUAUCUGGAGGAACACCGGUGGCGAAGGCGGCAUCCUGGACCACGACUGACGCUGAUGAGCGAAAGCCAGGGGAGCAAACGGG
This 252-nucleotide ribosomal RNA is filed under the name uncultured bacterium. RNAcentral's name for it is "partial 16S ribosomal RNA". It matches the Rfam family "Bacterial small subunit ribosomal RNA", at positions 524 to 776 of the family's 1533-position model. The record is from RNAcentral.